This is a long non-coding RNA of Cydia fagiglandana, 5073 nucleotides long. RefSeq lists it as uncharacterized. NCBI's taxonomy places the organism in Eukaryota, Metazoa, Arthropoda, Insecta, Lepidoptera, Tortricidae. The record is from RefSeq and is a predicted model, not a curated record. The transcript is spliced from 2 exons.
UGCCUAUAUAUGGCAAGAGAUAACAAUAAAAUGUUAUGGAUUGGUAUCACAGAGGUUAUUGCCAUGAUGAAUUGAUAGGAUAGCGAAGAUGAGAGGAAGAAACUGAUAGCGGGCUAGAAUUGUAGAUUGGCCCAUGACGGUUAUCAGUGGAAAGAGUUAAAAGAGGCUUUUACCGAGCACCACACUUAUUAAGAUAUAGCUCUAUUUCUAUAUUCCGGUCUCUAAUUCAGAAUAGGUGGUAAUUUAUAAUAGGUGGAUGUGCAUAUAAAUUAUUUUAGAUAAAAGACUGAAGUUAGUUUUUGAUUUGACAACAAAGAAAUUAUUUAUAAACUUUUGUAUAUGAAAAAAAAUGUUAAUUGAAGAUAUUGAAUGGUAUAUCCUACAUAGGUAGGUACAUGCAUUUAGUUUCAUAUCAUUGUUAUAUUGGAAAUUAUCAAUCUGGAUACUUAGAGAGAAGCACAUACAAACAAUAAUGAAUGAAUGAAAUUACACACAGUAUAAAUUCGAAAUUUGAAUUGACACAGGUAGUUUCACAUCUAUUUCAUAACAUUUAUUUAAAGGUCAUGCAUCUCAACAAUCCAAUUCAUUAGCUCAUAUAAUUCAUUCUGAAGCCUGAAUUUUGUAUAUGAGCAAGGUUUAUAUAAUUUAAAAAUGAAAAACAGAUGUGCAGAAUUUUUGGAAAUUGUCCACGCUUACCUCACGCUUCGCAUACAAAUCAAGGAAGUUUACAUUAAUGAUAUUAAUAUUUCAAAAUGUAAAAGAGACUUGUACUAUUAAUGGUGUCACAAUUAUUUUACAUCAAUUUACCAAAGAAUUAAGUUUGAAAAUAUAAGUAACAAUUUCAAAGCAUCAUUAUUAUCAUUCAUGGAACAUGAUGCAUGGUCGCAUUGUGGAUACUGACAUUGCAUAUUAAAAUGAAAGGGUUAAGAUCUCCUUGUAGGUAUCUAAAAGAAAGUGAAUAAGUUCACUAUAUUUGGAAUUCUUGAAUAUCUACUUCAUACCUUCGAAUUGUUGACAAGUGGUAUUUAUAUUUAAACCUUAUUGCACAAAAUAGGUAUACACCAGUGUUCAAAUUUGUUUUUCUAAAUUUAUAAAUUUAAUGCAGGUCUUGUCUAAUGACUCUAGUGAAAGCGUUUGUUGCACGGGAUUGGCUAAACAAGAACAGAUUACUUUUCGGUGUUGACACAAUAUUUAUUGUCUAAUAAUAUUGCAUAGUAUUCAGUUAUAUUUUUAAAAUUUGACUAGGUAUGCGAAGUUGAAAUACUGGUGAUGCCUAAUUAAGUUAAUCAAAUGGACGGAUCCUAGAGGUCAUAAAUUGUGGAAUUUGGGUUACUAAGAGGUGGGUAAUGGUCAGGAAUAGUGUCGGUCGAAUGCAAAAGCAGAUUACUUGUGUAUACAUUAUCAAUUAUAAGAGGGUCCAUUUAUAAAAUUAAAAUGUUGGCAAGAGCAGUGCCUGUUCGAAAAGACAAGACUUAAAGAAUUCUCAUUGAAAAUUGACUUAAAGAGUAAGGUCGAUGAGUGGGUACAAAUAAUGUCACAAGUUUUAGUGCAGGGUUUUAGUAUGGUUUUGUGCAAAAGUCUGUGACUGACUUAAACAAAAGACUCAACACCAGAGUAAGUUGAAUGAACGAAUCUAAAAGUAUAUAACAUUCAAAUUUAAAGAAGCCUUAUAAAGUAGGCUGUGUAGAAGUAACUUGGAGUUAAUUUUUAUUUUACAUUUCUUUUCAAUUCAUUAAACUUUGAAAGUAUCCUUAAAUUUGGUUUAUUGUUAGGUUUAACACAUGGUACAUUUAUGAUUUUAUGACGAAGACACAGUGAUGACAAGAGAAAUAGGUUGGUGAUAUUAACCAUGUGAACCAUGAUUCAUAAACACAACAUUUAUGGUUGCAGUUUUACAGCCAUAGCCAUUGGCUCUAACUAUUAAAAAAAAGGUGUAUAAAUAUAUUGGAAUUUAAUUACUUCCAAUAGUUUCAAUAAUAUAGUAGGUGGGGUAAUGACGCUAGUAUUUGCUACGGUGUACUCGGUGUAGUAUACGCUUGUACCUAUUUGGAGCCUUUUCUUUUCGGGUGCAUGUGACCCCGAGGUUUAGUGUUGCGUUUUUUACCAUCCCUGUGGCUGAAUAUUACUAUGGUGAUAUGUUGCACGAAGUUUAGGACGAAACAUCAGGACCAUCAGGUUAUUGAAUAAAUAUCUGUUUAUAUAAAUUCAACAAAAUAAAACAUGAUUUAAAUGUAAUCUUCUCAAAGUUGAUAAAUUGAUGAAUAUUUAUUAUUUUAUUUUAUUAAUGUUGAGGAUUUUUGAUGAAGAUAAUGAUUGAUAUCCAAGACGACAUUGACGUCUAAUUACAAUUUUAGUAACGAUGAGUAGGUGUCUAAUACAAAUACUUUAUUUAUAACGCUAAGGAAGAUCUUAGGUAACAGAGGUCCGAUAAUGAUGAUGAUGUAGGUAUAUGACUGAACAUGUCUACUAGUUAAGUAAGUGUCGAUGUCGGCGACAAUGUUUGCUCCAUGACUAUGACAGGGUCAAUAACUGGCCAUAUCGAUGAUAAAAACGGAGCUGGAUGAUUUCGAUGACAAUGUCGGCGAUAAAGCUUGACUGACCACUUUGAUGACGAUAUAUAGAUGACGUUUAUAGUAAGAUUAAUUGAUGAUGGUAAUGAUUGACUGAUUCGAUGUAUAUAAUCAAUGAUUAAAUUGUUGACGAGGACUGAGACUAAAAUGAUCGUUGCUACUGCCAAUAAUUAUAACAUUUGUUUUUAUUUUUUUAUGUUACAACGCUGGUAACCUGGCUGAAUGGAUGAAGUUGAUAAUGAGCGAGGGCUUCGCAGCAAGAGCUGACUGAAGUAAAGGAGGUUAAACUGUUAAGACGGUGCUGCCAGCAGUGGGCAGGGCCCAAGCUGCCGAUGGACAGGGCCACAGAGCGAGGAACCGACAUACAUACGUGCCGUGUCCAAGAUUACUGCCUUCUGCAUCUGAUCCUUGAUCCAGCGACCAGCGAGAGUAUCUACAGGUGUUGUUUUGGACUCUUAGCUGACAAGAUUGCUAUUAUAUUAAUAUUAUGAAUCUAGAAUAUAACUGUUGAGUUUUGGCAGACUGUCUAGUGCAGGCCGUAAUGGCAGACUGUCUAGAGCAGGCCAUGACUGUUUAUUAUGUUAGUUUAUGCUUUGGCAAAGUUAGGUUCUUGUAAUAUGGGCCUUGUUGUUUGAUCCAAAUAAAUAUAUAUACAUAUUAGUUUAUACUUUGACAAACUGUCCAGCGCGGGCCUUGAAGGCAGACUGUCUGGGGCAGGUCGUGAUUGUUUAUGAUGAUUUAUACUUAGGCAGACUGUCUAGAACAGGCUUUGAUAGUAGCCUGUCUUCUAGAGCAGGCCAUAACAAAUUAAUUAAAAUAAUUAAUUAGGUAUGAAUGUGCAGACUGUCUAGAGCAAGCUUUGAUAACAGCCUGUCUUCUAGAGCAGGCCAAAACAAAUUAAUUCAAAUAAUUAAUUAGGUAUGAAUGUGCAGACUGUCUAGAGCAAGCUUUGAUAACAGCCUGUCUUCUAGAGCAGGCCAAAACAAAUUAAUUCAAAUAAUUAAUUAGGUAUGAAUGUGCAGACUGUCUAGAGCAAGCUUUGAUAACAGCCUGUCUUCUAGAGCAGGCCAAAACAAAUUAAUUCAAAUAAUUAAUUAGGUAUGAAUGUGCAGACUGUCUAGAACAGGCUUUGAUAGCAGACUGUCUUCUAGAGCAGGCCGUGAUGGCAGACUGUCUAGACAACUCAAGUCUAUACUUUGGAAUGAUAUCUAGAGCAGGCCUUAAGGGCAGACUGUGAAUGUUUAUGAUGAAUUAUACUUUGUCAAACUAUAGAGUAAGCCUAAAUGGCAGACUGUGAUUGUUUAUGAUAAAUUAUACUUUGCCAAACUAUUUAGAGCAGGCCUAAAUGGCAGACUGAUUGUUUUGAUGAAUUAUGUUUUGCAAAUCAUUUAAAGCAGGUCUUAAUACUGUGAUUGUUUAUGAUGAAUUAUGUUUUGCCAAACUAUUUAGAGCAGGCCUAAAUGGCAGACUGAUUGUUUUGAUGAAUUAUGUUUUGCAAAUCAUUUAAAGCAGGUCUUAAUACUGUGAUUGUUUAUGAUGAAUUAUGUUUUGCCAAACUAUUUAGAGCAGGCCUAAAUGGCAGACUGAUUGUUUUGAUGAAUUAUGUUUUGCAAAUUAUUUAAAGCAGGUCUUAAUACUGUGAUUGUUUAUGAUGAAUUAUGUUUUGCCAAACUAUUUAGAGCAGGCCUAAAUGGCAGACUGAUUGUUUUGAUGAAUUAUGUUUUGCAAAUCAUUUAAAGCAGGUCUUAAUACUGUGAUUGUUUAUGAUGAAUUAUGUUUUGCUAAACUAUUUAGAGCAGGCCUUAUAAGGGUAGACUGUCAUUGUUUAUGACGUUUUAUACUUUGCUAUACUGUUUAGAGCAGGCCUUGAGGGCAGAUUGUGAAUGUUAAUGUUGGCUUAUACUUUGGCAGAUAUCUAGACCAGACCAAGACUGUAAGUUAGUUCAUAUGUAUUGAAAGUUUAUUGAAAGAAGGCUAUUAAUGCUAUCAGGUGCUGGUUGUAUUAAAUUACUGUUUAGUGUUUAUAUGAUCUCAGGUUAUAGCAUGUGAAGAUUGUGAAGUGUGAAGACUGAUUUCUCAAUAAGGUUAAUAUAUGCAACUAGUCAUUGGUUGUGUGAUUGACUAAUAAAAGUCUAUAGUCAGAAGUUUACAAAAACUGUUCUUAUGAAUGUUUGUUUGAUAUCGAUAAAAUUGUUAUGAUAUAUUGCUGUUGUUAUUAAUGUACAAUUGUUUUUAGUGAGAGGACUCACUAUAAAUAAAAGGACGGCCGAGUUGUAAGCAUCACAAUAGUUGAUAUCCUGUAUGUUACUUUAUACUGAUAAUAAUCACAUGUAGUAUGCACCUGACUUUAUACUUUUUGGUUAUUGUAUCUAUGGUCAUGUUUGUUGAGGGAGAACUGUCAGAUUUUGGCGGCGGUUCAUUGCCCGAGGUUAUGUUGGAUUUGUUCUUUGUAAUCUUAUAAUUAAUCCUGUAUGUCGCUGUAAUAAAAGAAAUAUUACUGGAA